Anas platyrhynchos (mallard) is the source of this 2114-nucleotide non-coding RNA. The record is from RefSeq and is a predicted model, not a curated record. NCBI's taxonomy places the organism in Eukaryota, Metazoa, Chordata, Aves, Anseriformes, Anatidae.
GCUCCCCACUUACCCCCCCCGCAACUGCUCCCGGGUACCGGUGCCCCCUCGGCGUCGCGGCGAGGAGCCGUCCGAGGUGUAACACACGAACAAAACUCGUCCCUCUGUCCCCGCCGUCGACCGCUGCCCCCUCCGUCCCGUCACGCAGCCCUGAGGGGCGCCUCCGCCGUGAGCCCCCCGCCGCCGGGCCCGCAGGAGCCCCCCGCCGCGGCCCUCAGCCCCUGAGGCGGGGGCUCGCUGCCUCCUGCCCGGCGGGUUGCGGCCCGGGGGCCCGGGGCGAGCACCGAGCGCCUGGAAGGGCUGAGCAAAACCCCCGCCUGAGAGCCAGUGGUUAACGCUGUUCCGUAACUAUCUCGACAGGACGCUCUAAAUCCCUAACUCUUUCUGCGGGAGAGUGGAAGAGGUAAAGGCUGCAGAAGUAAAAAAGGCUAUUUCCUGUCGAUUGGCUGCUGAUAACUGUAUGGCUGAAGUGGAUGUUGAAGAAAUUGUUUAAAGAUUUAAAAUGGCUUCUCAUUGGAAUCACUUGGAACAAAUGGAUGACACUUGGAAAAUCUGCUUGAUAGCAAUCUGUAGAGGUUUCUUGAAAUGGUACAACUUUGAAGGUGUUUGGAUUUUCAUGAGGGUAAACAAGAGAGAGAAUCAUUCUUGGCAACUAUUUUUGUAAGGUAGAACUACUGAUCCAGUAACUCACAUGGAACUCUGAUAGAAGCCUCCUGGCCCUAAAUUCUCAAUUUUAUAUACCUGAAAGAGAUACUAAAACUAUUAUUUCAGGUCAGACAAUGGAACACAAGGACAAAGAAAAAAUACGACAGUAUUGAUACGUGAGCAAAGGUCAACCAACCAGAGAGAAGCAGAUACCACUACUGGAUGGAGAAAGUUCCCUAACAUGGUGGGACUCUCAUGAUGAAAGGCUUGUUCCUGCUUUGUAACAUGCGACCAUGUCACUGACUCCUGUAAAAUCAGUCGCCAUGAUUCAGCACACGCAGAGAGUCAGCGUGAGGUGCCCUGCCGUGUGCAGGAUGGCUGCUGGUUGGCUUCAUCAGCACAGUCCUAAGUCUCUAACUUACAUAAAUGGUGGGGAGAGGAAAUUCUAUUUUAAAGGUUUCGCUUUGUUCCUUGUUUAUCCUACUUUUUUUUUUCUUUCUUUUUUUUUUUUUUUUCUCUCUUUUGGGGAGGGGGAAGGGGAAAGGAAGGGGAGAAGAAUAGCGGAAUUAAUAGAACGUGGUAUAUCAGUAAAAUUUCAGAGAUUGCUAUAAAUACCUAGAGUAGGAAGAAGGUGAGUUGUUAGCGGUGUGACUUGUUUGUGUCACUUUGUUAGAACAUUAGCGGUAUCUUAAUAUAGAUUUCUUUUUUGGCUUCUAAUGAUACAUUCCUUUCACUGGGGAGGGGAUGGGUAAAAUUUGCUACUGCUGUUUUUCUGGCAUUAACUGCAACUCCCUUCUGCUGCUCCCUGCAGCUCUCCCUGGCACGGCCCUGGGCCCUCUAGUGGACCUGCGCUGCUUGCAGCGGCGUCUCUGCCAAAACACUGAUUCUGUUGCUAUGUUAUUUGUUAGAGCUACGCUAUUGUACGUGAAAAUCAAUGUAGACAACGUUGCUGAAAAGUGAAUCUGAGAUUCAUACGUUUUGUAAAACGGCGUUUAUUUCUUGCACAAAAAGUGCCUAACCUCGGCUGUAGGCAGCAGGCCAUCUGGGGCCGCAGUGGUCCUGCCAGUGCCCUUACUCAAGUAAUCUGUGUGCUCCACAGUGUCAGGCUGUGCCUACACAAUCAAUUACAUUUCAGUAGUAUUUGAACAUUGUCACUUCAAAAUAUCUGUUAUUUACCUUUUUCCCAGUGAUCCACUUGUUUUACUGUUUGUGUGUGCUAUUGUCUAAAAUUUAAGCAUCUUUCAAAAUAUAAAAAUUACAAAUAUAUAUAUAUUUGAAGAAUAAAUGCAAUAGACUUGUUAGGUGAUUUUGAUACCUUAACAGCAGCUCUGUGCUGUGGUCAUAUAUUUUUGGACAUCAGUGACUAUACAGAUGAAUCAAGUAUACAAGAAUAUAAUUUGUAAUCUUAGUGGACUUGUAUUUUUGUAGUCUUUCCUUUGAGAUGUGGGGUCUGGUCACCUGGGAGAACA